UACGUAGGGUGCAAGCGUUAAUCGGAAUUACUGGGCGUAAAGCGUGCGCAGGCUGCUUUGCAAGACAGAUGUGAAAUCCCCGGGCUUAACCUGGGAACUGCAUUUGUGACUGCAUGGCUAGAGUGCGGCAGAGGGGGAUGGAAUUCCGCGUGUAGCAGUGAAAUGCGUAGAUAUGCGGAGGAACACCGAUGGCGAAGGCAAUCCCCUGGGCCUGCACUGACGCUCAUGCACGAAAGCGUGGGGAGCAAACAGG
This 253-nucleotide ribosomal RNA is filed under the name uncultured bacterium. RNAcentral describes it as "partial 16S ribosomal RNA". It matches the Rfam family "Bacterial small subunit ribosomal RNA", at positions 524 to 776 of the family's 1533-position model. The record is from RNAcentral.